GACGAACGCUGGCGGCGUGCUUAACACAUGCAAGUCGAACGGAAAGGCCCUGCUUGCAGGGUACUCGAGUGGCGAACGGGUGAGUAACACGUGGGUGAUCUGCCCUGCACUUCGGGAUAAGCCUGGGAAACUCGGUCUAAUACCGGAUAGGAGCCAUUUUUAGUGUGAUGGUUGGAAAGUUUUUUCGGUGUAGGAUGAGCUCGCGGCCUAUCAGCUUGUUGGUGGGGUAAUGGCCUACCAAGGCGGCGACGGGUAGCCGGCCUGAGAGGGUGGACGGCCACAUUGGGACUGAGAUACGGCCCAGACUCCUACGGGAGGCAGCAGUGGGGAAUAUUGCACAAUGGGCGCAAGCCUGAUGCAGCGACGCCGCGUGGGGGAUGACGGCCUUCGGGUUGUAAACUCCUUUCGCUAGGGACGAAGCUUUUUGUGACGGUACCUAGAUAAGAAGCACCGGCUAACUACGUG
Molecule: ribosomal RNA, 465 nt
Filed under: uncultured bacterium
Lineage: Bacteria
Description: partial 16S ribosomal RNA
Rfam family: Bacterial small subunit ribosomal RNA
Source: RNAcentral